UAACCAGACAAAAGGAGCUCGGGUGCCCACGGUUUCGCCUGACCUCAGCAGAGACGCGCCAGCGAGAGCCGUGAAGCGCCACAGCUGACUGGGCUCUUUGCUUUUUCCCAACGCACUUUCCCGAAGAGGCCCUGGUGACCGGGCCAUUCACUGUCCAGAGCAAUAAAUGCGGGAAGCAUCUCGGGCCGGGCACCUCAUUCUCAAAAAGGACGCAAAGACUUUGGAGUAUAGCCAACAUGCCUGGAACAAAAGGUAACAAGUCGGACAAGAAAUCCGCCACCAAGCAGCCUCAGAGUCCUAAGGAGCAGCCGAAGAAAGGUGAUCAGAAAGGAGAUGACAAUAAGAAGCAAGGAGGACAGCCGAAGGGAGAGAAGCAGUAACUUCCAGGCCUUUGUGAAGAUGGCUCUGGAGACUCUCCUGGGCUCAUGCAGACGCAAACACGGAGGCCCUCGGGGUCGGCAGGGCUGAGGAGAAUCAGCUCCUCUACCACAUUCAGCCAAUCAGACACAUCCUGCCUGCCUUUAACAAGGCAGAGAUGUGUCCAGUCCUCCAUCUGUUAGAGACUACACCCCUGAUCUGUCCCACCCCCGCCCCAACUCCCCAUACCGGAUCUCAUGGCUUCUGGAGCAACCCUAAUAACUGGGAAUUGAACCAGAGUGAUGAGAUUUUACACCCUAUCCUACACCUCAUCCCCUCUACUUCAACUCCGCCCAUGUGAUGGUACCUCGCUGUGUUGUAUAUAAAUAAACAAACAAAUGUUAUUUCAUACAAUAA
Long non-coding RNA from Astyanax mexicanus (Mexican tetra), 774 nucleotides. RefSeq lists it as uncharacterized. NCBI's taxonomy places the organism in Eukaryota, Metazoa, Chordata, Actinopteri, Characiformes, Acestrorhamphidae. The record is from RefSeq and is a predicted model, not a curated record. The transcript is spliced from 4 exons.